This is a long non-coding RNA of Sander lucioperca (pikeperch), 464 nucleotides long. RefSeq lists it as uncharacterized. The transcript has 5 exons. The record is from RefSeq and is a predicted model, not a curated record. NCBI's taxonomy places the organism in Eukaryota, Metazoa, Chordata, Actinopteri, Perciformes, Percidae.
UCUGACUGUUGUAGCAGGAGCAAGUCCGUUAAUAGCUGCUGGAACAAUCAGUGUUGUUCUCCUGGCUGUCCUAUCCCUCUCUGUCUUCCUGUGGAUCAGAAAGAGGAGGGCUUCCAGGGACUCGUCUGGACCAGACAACAGGGAACAGAGUGAGCCAGAGGAGCAGGUUGACCUUCAGUACGCCACCAUCCACGUCUCCAACAGCCAGGCAGAUCCUCUGUACUCCAACAUCAGAGCUGCUCAGCCCCUCAGACACAGGGAGCAACAGGAAGCUGUUGAGUACGCUGCUGUCAGGUUCAACAGUGACAGUACUGCCCCGAGAACCAGAGGUCGGGACACUGGAGAGGAUCCAGCUGCUUUGUACAGCACAGUCAACAAAACCCGAUGACAAACAACAGGCAUUGCAUUUAUAGUCUCCAUUUCUAUCUUUUUUCGCCAAAAAAUAAUUCAAAUUAAUCAGGUAA